GAGUAAAGAUUUCGGUCGCUUUGGGAGGAGCUCGCUUACUAUCAGCUUGUUGGUAGGGUAAUGGCCUACCAAGGCUAUGACGGUUAGGGGGUGUGAGAGCAUGACCCCCAGCAUUGGCACUGAAACACUGGCCAAACACCUACGGGUGGCUGCAGUCGAGAAUCUUCCACAAUGGGGGAAACCCUGAUGGAGCGAUGCUGCGUGCGGGAUGAAGGCCUUCGGGUUGUAAACCGCUUAUGUAGGGGACGAAAUUUUUGACGGUACCCUUUCGAAUAAGAGUUUGCUAACUUCUUGUGCCAGCAAGCAACCGGUUAAUCAGGAGACCUCAAGCGUUAUCCCGGAUAUACUGGGCGUAAAGCGUCUGUAAGGGGGUCAAUAAAGUUCCCAAGUAAAAUUACAAGGCUCAACUUUGAAUUCGCUUGGAAAACUAAUAAACUGGAGUCUAGCAGAGGUGCAUGGAACUUGUGGUGUAGGAGUGAAAUCCGUUGAUAUCACAAGGAACACCAAAGGCGAAGGCAUUGCACUGGGCUAGCACUGACCCUGAGAGACGAAAGCGUGGGGAGCAAAACGGAUUAGAUACCCGUGUAGUCCACGCCCUAAACGAUGAAUGCUAAAUGUUCGGGGAUUCGACCCCCUGGGUGUUACAGCUAACGCGUUAAGCAUUCCGCCUGGGAAGUACGGCCGCAAGGCUAAAACUCAAAGGAAUAGACGGGGAUCCGCACAAGCGGUGGAGCGUCUGGUUUAAUUCGACAGUAAGCGUGGUACCUCACCAGGGUUUGACAUCCCUUGACAGCCUUGGAAACAAGGUUUCCUUCGGGCAAGGUGACAGGUGCUGCAUGGUCGUCGUCAGUUCGUGCCGUGAGGUGUUCCGUUAAGUCGGGAAACGAACGAAACCCCUAUUGCAUGUUACAAUUUCUCAUGCAAGACUGCCCGGAUAUACUGGGAGGAAGGUGGGGAUGACGUCAGAUCUGCAUGGUCCUUAUACCCUGGGCGACACAGGCGCUACAAUGGCAGAGACAAAGGGUUGCAAAACCGCAAGGUGAAGCUAAUCCCAAAAACUUUGUCUAAGUUCGGAUUGAAGGCUGCAAUUCGCCUUCAUGAAGCUGGAAUCGCUAGUAAUCGUGAAUCAGCCACGUCACGGUGAAUAUGUUCCCGGAUCUUGUACUCACCGCCCGUCACACCAAGAGAGUUGGUAGCUCCCGAAGCG
Molecule: ribosomal RNA, 1207 nt
Filed under: uncultured organism
Description: bacterial SSU rRNA
Rfam family: Bacterial small subunit ribosomal RNA
Source: RNAcentral